UUCGCCUUCCCCUUCGCCUUUCCCUUGGCUGCCGCCACCUUGCCACCAGCUCCGCCUCCGCGCGGCUUUUUCCCCGGCAGACCGGCAAGGUCGUUGGUCCCAAAGAAAUAGCAGUAGGUGAAGUUGGCCCAUGCCAGAUGGCCCGCGACAGCAAACCAGUCAGGGAAAUCGCCGCCGUCCUCAUCUUCGAACACGGGCCGCGGCAGCUCCCGGCCCGAGACCAAGGCGCUGGUGCACCCUAGCACGUGCUCCUUGGCGCCAUCCCACAGGGGCGAGGGAAACGUCCACGUCAGCAGCUGCAGCACAUACGGCACGCGGGAUGGGGUGGGUCUACGACCGUGCCGUAGCCCGGUUUGGACCAUGCCGUAUCCUGCCCGUGCGAGUGGCCUCCCAUGCACCCAACCGCCCAACUAGCACCCGCACCUCCUGUACUGCAGCGCAGUAUUCCGCCGCAAUGAUGAGGAGCUGGAAGUCGCAAGGGUCCCAAGGCUUGUCCGGUAGGCAGCCCGGGGGUGGUAUUGUCUCCUCUGCCUUCCCCUCUUCAUCCAGGACGACCUAUGGCAACAACCAGUGGCAUAGUGUUUGUGGUAGUGCAGCGUGUGUCACCAGGUGUAGUACUGGGACUGUGGAGUGGGGAGCUAAAACAGCUCCGCACGGCUACAUCGCCUCACCACAAUUCCAAGCUUGUAGCCACCUCCAACAUUUUUAGUAAACGGAGGACAAGAACCUCCGCGUGGCCCUGGCCCUGGCGCCAUUGCACGAGAAAGCUAGGAGUUGGGCCUGGCCAGGCCCAGCGCAAGACAGCGUCCGUAUGUAUUCUGGACCUGUGCUUCGUGCUUAAGAUGUGUACGAAGCAGCCGAGAGCAGUAGAACGAGAGCAGUCGACCGCAAAUAGACCGAGAACAAAUAGUUCUCUUGUUGAAUCUGAGAGACCAGUCGUGCUCGUCUAAGCAACGUUUACGGCAGAAACACAGUCCUCCAAGUAAUCGCUUGAAGUGGGCUCAGCAAGGUGAAGCGGAGGAUUGCAAUGGGGGCCCCGCGCUUGUUUUGGAGAUUUGCAUCCAGCCGAUGCGUGGCUUAGACGUCACAAAGGUAACACAGGCUUUGAGUCGGAGCCCGAGUUGGUCAGGGCCCGUGUGCGGCGCAUGCGAUGCGUAACCUGGAACGCGCCAAACACAACAAAGGUGCUAGCAGGCUGGAUGAUAGUCAGCGUUACGUGAGGCCACCUAUAAGUAUUACAACUAGCCAAGCAGCUAGCCAAGGCAGUCAUGUCCGCGUACGUGCCAUCGCAGUUGCCUUGCUGCUAGGCAGAGCUUGCCACAAGCGCCACGCACCGCCCCGUGGCCCUUCAUAUUAGGGGAGGGCAUACCUCCCUUGCUUCAAACAUUUCGUUGGGGUGGAGGUUCCAGAGUACAGGGGAUGCCAACGGGACUCCUCCCGCUGGGGCCUCGCCGGGGUCCCGCUGGUCCAAGCCCUGCCACACUGACACGCAGCAGCUUGAACGUGCCUCCCAGCACCAUGGAUGCCCCUACCCGGCACCAGCCCAGAGGUGUUUUCACGAUUACCCUUGCAGCAGCUGACCAGCCUGAAGUCAUCCUCUACACGCACCUCCUCUCAUUGGUGCCUGGUACCACUAUUAUGGCAGUGGAUCAAAGUGCUCCAGGUCCCAUACACCAGCAACCCUUGCAGCAACCAUCAACUUAGCCCAUGAGCCCAGCUACCCGAGCCUCGUGGUUGGACAAGAUAUGGGCAGGCUGCGAUGCUUUGUGGAGAAGGGCAUGCGGCGUUGCCAUGCUGUCCCGCGGAGAAGAAAGCAGAGUCCGGGUGGGGGGUGGGGUGGGGGUGGGGGUGGGGGGGGGAAACGAGGCCGGCGUCGCCGAGCUGGUACCUCCCGCCAAAGUUCGCAACUGUGCAUUUCUGCGUACAUCAACGAUAUGCAUGGAUAUUUGUUUUCGAUAUCUACGUGCAAGCCUUUGUCUUUGCGAUCGGUCGAGUUGGCUUUACAUUUUCAUGCUCGCGUGCUUUCAGACAACCUGAUCUGUGCUACCUGUGAAAUGCGAUGUAGGUUAUAGCUACGUGCAUUUUCGCGCCAGACAAUGAAGCGCAGUUAUUGGCCUCGUUCAUACGCUGCGCUCGCUCUCGCGCCCUGGGACCAAGAUCACGUAUAGAGGAAGCUAUGAUCAUUCGGCUAUGUCAAUGCGUUGGGCCGAAAUCGUGCUGUACGCGACGACGCACAGGAUGCGUCACACUUUCCAGAGGACCCGUAGAUAGCUGGGCCCGCCCGUGGGCUUUGUACGUGGGUGGUCUUGCGCCACGAUGCCGGAGUUGGGUGCCGGAGUCACAUCAAGGUCGCAAGAUCGAAACCCAUCAGGAACGGUUCGGCUCCGUUACCUGUGUAGGCACUGAACAUACUUGUGCCGAACUUCCCCGAACGAGCGCCAUCUCGGCCUUCCUAGGUCGCUGCUCUACGGGUGAGGACGCUGGUGCGGCGGGUUCUGAUGGUUUCCCCGCGAGAGCUAUCCUGCUUUCUAGAAGCCGGUCUGCGAGCCAGUUGGCGCUGAUGCGCCGGGGCAGGAGGAGGCCCCUGAUUAGGGAAUGUGCGUCACCCAGCGCCGAUCUGCGAGCCCGUGUUUCGAGGCGUUACCGUGGCCCAGUAUGGCCGAUGGUUGCAGACAACCCCCCUCCCCCACAUACCUAAUGACCAGCACGCGACGACACGAGCACCGUCUCCCUGUCUAUCCUACUAGUCCCUCAUCCAGCUCCAGCAAGCCCGCACACGCUACGGUUCUUGUGCUAACUCUUGCUGCGUGCCAUAAAGUGGGCCUGCGUCCGUGCCGCAGUUGCAGCGGCCUGCAUACGUGACGGCCGACCCACCCGCAAAGCGAAGCCACGUUGCGUCCUCGUGUACAUCUGGGUCUGUCCUAAGCACUCCUGACUCGCUCAUGCAUGGAACUGGUCAUUGUCGAAGGUGGAUGCGAUACGGCCUUGUCUAACCUACAACACAAUGAUGACUAGGGCCCAGUUGAGUUCCACUCGCCUGCUGUUCAACCUAGCACCUGCCAAAUACAAAGGACGCCCAUCCUGCUACAGCAGCAUCCUCUGUAACCGAAUCGUCCGCUAGGCCUCAACGGCUGCGCAUCCAGCCAGCGAGCUGCACUUCUUUUGCGCAUCCCUCCCACUCCGUCCGUUAACUAGCAGACGUGCAACCGCGCCUCCCGCUCUCCAAGCAUCCGCUCCAACGACGCAAGCGCCUCGACCAGCGCCGCAUCCCCCGCUGCCGCCCCCCCUACGCCCACCUGCUGCUGGCACCACUCCAUGUCCUUUACCAGCGCCACACGCACACGCUCCAUCAAACCCAGCAGCGGCACGGGCCCCGGCACCGGCGCCUGGCCGGCACCGGCACCCACACCCACGCCGGCGCCCACAGCUGCUGCUGCCACAGCGGCUGGUGGGGCCAGUUGCAUGCCUUGCAUAAGCUGCAGCAAGCCCGGCUCGUGUGGAUUGUCCACGUGCAUCGCCGCCACCCCGUACAGCCCUGCAGCCGGCUGCUGUGGGUACAACUGCGGCACAAACACGGCGUCUGACGCCUCCGAUGAAGCCGCGGCGGCGGCACAGCCCGCCUGGCCGGGCGGCCCUGAGGCUAACACCGGAGCCACCGGCGGCGCGCUUGCUCCUGCUGUCGCGGCCAGUCCUGUUGUGAGCGCUGCGGCUGCUGCUGCCGGCGCCAGCCGCAGCCGGCUCUGCGCUUCCACGUCCGGCCUCGGCGGCACCGGCCCCGGCGACCGCUCCUGCUGCUCCUCCUGCUCCUGCUUGACCCGCGCCUGGUACUCCGCGCGCAUCUGCACCGCCCGCUCCCCCGCCAGCUCCUCCACCACCUCCCCCAAUUUAACUAUCUUCUCAGGUGGGAUGCAGCACGGCAGUAGCAGCUGGGGCCUCGGCACGCCGGGGGGCCGCACCAGCUGCGCCGCGCACGAGCCGCUACCAGGCGCGGCGGCUACACCCGCGGCGCUCGCGGCGCCGUCGCCGUCGCCCAGCAGCGCGUACCAGACAUCGGGCGACGAUGUGGUGGCGUCCUGAUACGCCUCCAUUACCGCCGGCAUCCACACGCCGUGCACGUGCGCAAGCGCGCGCUCCCAGCCCUCCACGCAGCUGGCCAGCAGCUGCGGGAAGCCGGACGCCAGGUGCUCGGCCUCGACCGGCGGGCGGUCCUUGGUGCCGGUCUUGUGCUUCAGUACGUGCUUGUACAGGAAGGCCGGCAGGGCCGCCCCGCUGUCUGGCAGCUUGCCCCAGCCCUUCGCCGACUGUCAGGAGGGGUUGGGGGCCGACGGCAAGGUGUAUGCAUGAGCGCGUGACCGGUCGACAGCUGGUGCCGUGAACCACGGCUGCCUCCCGCCGUCUAACUACGAUGCCGGCCGCACCAACUCACCGUGCUGGACACGCUUGGUCCACCUCCUGAUGAGCCGUACCCUGCUCAAGUUUUGCCCCCUGUGCGGCUGUAGCCCCUACAGCCCAAAGUGCCUACCUGUUUAAGUGCCUUGCACACGUCGGAGAUGACCAGGAAGCCCAGCGUGCAGUUGUGGGCCUGGCCGUAGUCCGCGGGCAGGCCGCAGCAGCCCGCAGGAACGCUGCGCUCCAUCGUGGCCCCCUCCUCCGCCCCAGCCGCGGCGGCGGCGGCGGCCGGCUGCUGCUUGCCCUUUUUCUUCGCAGCCUUCAGCGAGCACUGUGGCCGAGGAGGCGACGACGCACGCCAAGCUCAGUGGGUGCGGUGCACACAAUGGCAGUGCCAAGUGCGUGCUGCCCCCUGAGCAACGACGUGCAGGGCAUUGCACGCUACGCAGUGGUCAUUCGACCAUGCCCAUACCACUGCCCACACGCCGCGACAGCUGCCUCCCCCUCCCCGCCGUACCUUGACACGGUUGUCGAUGUACCCCGAGUUGACGUGGUAGGGGUAGAUGGGGAGGAACGGCGAGCCUGCGUCCGCGCUCUUGAGCGACUUGGUCUUGUUGACUUGGCGGGCCUCCGACUCCAUCGCCUGCUGCCUUGUCCAGCCCUCGCCCAGGCUGUUGUCCAGCCACUCGCGUGUCUUCUUGGCCCACUCCCCGAUGGCGCCCGACACCUCGCCCUCUGGGUGCCACCCGUGCGUGCCCACCAGCCGGAGCAGCUACUUGUAAGCUGUAUGCUCGACCGGCUCCAUCUCAACAGGGCCUCUACCGGCUGCUGUAUCCGGCACAUCGGGAAGGUCGUUGGUCCCAAAGAAAUAGCAGUAGGUGAAGUUGGCCCAUGCCAGAUGGCCCGCGACAGCAAACCAGUCCGGGAAAUCGCCGCCGUCCUCAUCUUCGAACACGGGCCGCGGCAGCUCCCGGCCCGAGACCAAGGCGCUGGUGCACCCUA
RNAcentral lists this long non-coding RNA (5391 nucleotides) under Chlamydomonas reinhardtii. RNAcentral's name for it is "long non-coding RNA (CREI_LNC000873)". The record is from RNAcentral. Lineage: Eukaryota; Viridiplantae; Chlorophyta; Chlorophyceae; Chlamydomonadales; Chlamydomonadaceae.